CUGCUAAUAACUAAUAAAUUGUAAAAUGCUUAAAAAUUAAUUUUUCCACUUCCGUUGAGAAACUAGAGUAACUAUCCUCACUUUAAUUUUCUAGUGGUUCAAAUCAAUGUUUAAUUACAAUGUAAAGAUAAUUCAAAACUAUCAUUCCGUUAUUCAUGGAACUUCCCACCUGUUAUUAUUAUUGGUUUAAUAUAAGUAAUUUUUUUUUUGUUUAUCUAAGUAAAUUGAUUAGAGAAUGUCCUACCUAUAUAGUGUUGGUUUUCUUGACGAUGAUAAAGAAUCAAAAGAGGUGGUCAUAGAAAAAAGUCAUCAAGUUAUUCAGAUGAGGAACCUUUAAGUAGGUUUUUUAAAAGAUAAGUUACAGUAAAAAUCAGUUAUAAUGGUUAGAAGGGGUGAAGGGUAAGAUACAUAGGCCAUCAGUGAUGAUGAAGGAGCUGGGGUGGGACACUCUACACAGAAGGAGAAAAUAGAGGGAUUGGUGAAGUUUCUUAGUUUGACAAUUGGUGAGGGGGGCUGGGGGAUGCUGAGAGACAGUUUGAACAGAGGGGUGAAUAGAGAGAGGCAGGAUCAUGGGUGGAAGAUUCAAAGAGAGUGGAGUAGAACAGAAAUAGGGAGGCAAGUAUUACUGGUGGGGAAAGGAAGUGAGUGGAAUAGGAUUGAGGGAAAGAUCCUGGAUGUCAGAAGAGGAAAGGACUUGAGGAAGAGGCUUUGGAAAUUGGGCGAGUAGAGGGAGGACUCCUUGCCACUGGGUGGAAGCCCUAUCACAAGUGUAACAAUCAAUCAAUCACCCGAUACACACAAUUUUGUGUAGACUAAAUAUUUUUGGGGUAAGCCAUGUGUUUAUUAAGUUGUUUAAAAGGUCAGCAAGGGUUGAUGGGUGGAAUGAAGAGAAAUGUAUCUCUUAUUAUCGUACAUUAAGAGGUUCAGCAUUUCAGUGGUAUGACAGUUUUGAGAACCCUUUAGAAAAUUUGAAAAACUUUGAAGAGCUAGCUAAUGCAUUAAGGUCAGAAUUUGUACGAGUAGGCCAUGUAGAAGACCUAGAACUGAGAUUACAAUCUAGAGUACAGAAUAUUAGGGAACCAUUCUAAUCUUUUGUAUAUACUUUUGUGUGCUAGACUUGACGCAAAGAUGUCUGAAUCCUCUAAACUUAGAUAUCUGUUAAGAGAAAUAAAACCAGAAAUUGUUGAAAAAGUUAUGCUUUUCCCCAAACAGAACUGUUGAAUAGCUGUUAGAAAACUUUUGAGGUUACAAAUGUUGAGAGCAUGAAGCCAUUUUACACUUGAAACUAGAUGUAAUGGUGUUUCUGGACUCCGUUAUGAUCUCUGGAAAUGUUUUUUAUAGGUGCAGUUUCAUUUCAAAUCUGUAGUUUCACCUUGCUUCAAGUGAUUGUUUUGUGAUUAUUGUUUUGUGUUUAUGGUUCAAUUUUCAGCUGGUUCAUUUGAAGUCUUAAUGCAUUGACAUGGUGGUUUUCUUUUCUCCUUGGAAAGAACAUGAUUAAUUAACAAUCGUCUUUAAGCAUGUUACAGAACCCCUGUCGUGAAUGCACUACAAGGAUGAAGUCCAUGAUCGGGUGGAGCUUGCUGGUGAUGAUGUACUUUGGUGGCGACAUUUCAUCGCAGCAUUUACACCCCAGGGCAUUUGGAAUAAUCGCAGGCGCCCACUUCGAGCCGAUACAAUUGGUGACGCUAUAUACUUUGUCCGUACCUUUAAAUUUUAAAAUUUCUUGGCCUUCACAAUUGACUGAUAUACAAGAAGGAAUCAGAAUGCUGAGUUUGAGUCAAACGAAUGGUUCAUAAGAUUGGUGCAGUAUUAUUAAAGAGCUUAAACAUGCAAUUACAUUUGCUGAUAUGCUAAGUUAAAUGAACCUGCUGGAGAAGUCUUUGUCAAUAAUAGUUGAAGUGAAAAGAGAGGGUUGACAUUUUUAGGUAACUUUUUGAACUGGUGUUGUGAUGUGGUAAUGUCUAAUCAGGUUGGAAACUUGUUUCUGAAUGAACAUCAGGUAACAACAUGUCAACAUGCUCCGAGCUUUUUAGCUGUUGAUGGAGAAAUUUUGGUUACUAUACAGGGGCGAAAUUUGCUAGAUUGCCUUCCUUAUUAUAAAAGUUUAUGUUUUGUUCCAAGAUUUUCAGGUGACAGCAUGGGAAGCAGCCUGUGUCCUAAGUCUCUGUUCUAAGUUUCUGUUCUGCUACGCACCCCCAUUACAAUAUAUUUAAUUCCUUAUUGAACAUCAGGUAAAAUAAUUGUUGACUUCACUCCACAGCUACACUGUUAGAAAUUACUGUAAAUUUACGGACUUUAAACUAGGAAAACUUCUAAAUACACAAAGGGUUCUUCGUAGUUUCAGAUAACUGGAUAUUCAUAGAAACUAUGAUGGAUUCCGACUUCCAGAGUUCUGUGUUCUGUUUUAAACAAGGUGUGCAGCCGCCGGUCCCGAAGCAAAGCCCACCUUGCGUGAUGGAGGUGUUCAUGAGUAUGGGGUUGCCGGCCCACGAGACGGGCUCCCCGGCGCUGCUGAAGUUCACAACCAGAUGACCGAGGUAUUUGGUGUAGGCGCCCGCCUGCACCACCAGGACCUUCCUCCCGUCGUCGUGCUCCACCACGGUGGGGUACGGUCCUCUGGAGACGUCUCCGCCCGGGGGAGUUCCUGCCGACAGACAGGAGCUCCUGGGACUUUCCCGGCCAUUUAGUUAAAGUUAAAAAGAUGUUUUAGGGAGGCGACGAACCCGUGAAGAGGAGCGAGUGCGAGUGGCCGCCUACGAUGACGUCCAGGUCGGGCACCUUCCUUGCCACCUGCUGGUCGAUGUCGUAGCCGGCGUGCGAGAGAGCGAUCACCACGUCGACCCCUCGCGCCUUGAGCUCUUCCACCUCGGCGCCCACCGCCUCCGCCUCGUCCAGGAACCUCAGCCGGCCCGUCGCGGCGAUCUCCUGCCAUGCGCCGCGGACUGACCAGCGCGUCGUGCGGCAGCAUGUUCAUGAACCGGGCCGUCACGUUCCAGCGGAACAGCGUGUACCACAGGGUGCCUUGGAACACGUCGCCGGCGUUCAGGAGGACGCUGUUCUCCGGUCGCUCGGCCAGCAGUCGCAGCACCUCCGUGCGGACCCUGGCGAUUCCGCCGACGCAGGAGUCCUCCCUGCCCUCGGGGCACGCCCCCGAGCUCCAGCUGGUCUCCUCGAAGCGGGCAUGGAAGUCGUUCCAGUGGACGAUGGACAGCUCGAACAGCUCGUCGUCCGCAGGCGCUCCUGGAGAGGGCGAUCGCGUUUUUUUUAAAGAUUCACACGUCUUUGGUCACGUUGUAAAAAAAAUGACCAGAGUGAAUUUUUACGAUGCAACGGAAGUUUCACAGCGAACAAAAAAAAAACGGCAUAAAAAAUACAAAUUUUAUAUGUGCUUUUAAAUCAUAUAAUUUAGUGAUUGAAACUGAAAACUGGUCCAUAUAUAUUAAAAAAAGCAUUUAUUUAUUGUGAAUAUUAGUGAAAGCAAUUGUGUUUGUAAACAUUUUUCAAGUGUGUUUGUGUAAGUAAGGUUAUGUUCUCUCGUAUGUACAACGAUGUCAAGGUUGCUUGUAAGCUUCCAGGGAGUGUUUCUGGAAGGUUUAGUAGUCUCCUGGCCAUUUUCAAGGGAGUGUUUGCGAGGUUAUGUUCCCGUGUGUAAAAUUUAUUUGAAUUAAAAUUAUUAUUACAUUA
Bacillus rossius redtenbacheri is the source of this 3684-nucleotide long non-coding RNA. RefSeq lists it as uncharacterized. The transcript is spliced from 4 exons. Lineage: Eukaryota; Metazoa; Arthropoda; Insecta; Phasmatodea; Bacillidae. The record is from RefSeq and is a predicted model, not a curated record.